UACGUAUGGUGCUAGCGUUGUCCGGAAUCAUUGGGCGUAAAGCGCGUGUAGGCGGUUCGGUAAGUCCGCUGUGAAAGUCGGGGGCUCAACCCUCGGAUGCCGGUGGAUACUGUCGGACUAGAGUACGGAAGAGGCGAGUGGAAUUCCUGGUGUAGCGGUGAAAUGCGCAGAUAUCAGGAAGAACACCAAUGGCGAAGGCAGCUCUCUGGGACGGUACUGACGCUGAGACGCGAAAGCGUGGGGAGCGAACAGG
Molecule: ribosomal RNA, 253 nt
Filed under: uncultured bacterium
Lineage: Bacteria
Description: partial 16S ribosomal RNA
Rfam family: Bacterial small subunit ribosomal RNA
Source: RNAcentral